GGUUUUUCUGACUAGAUAUUUGGGGAUCAGUGUAUAUAGGUUAAGAACGCAGAAUACAAGAACAAUUUUACGGACACAUGAUAAAGGAUAAAUAUUUAAGAUAUACAGACUACACGCAAUAUAAGAGAUUACACCUAUCAGUCGCAAUGCCAAUCCCAUCAGAAACAAAAAACACAAAGACAACGGAUAGUGAUGAAGCCACUCGUUCAUACCGCACGUGUACCUCGUGUAAACAGAGACCCAAGACAAUGUUACUUCUGCCGUGCAGCCAUCUGGCGGCCUGUGAGCAAUGUGUCGCCGACCUCAGCUGUUGUCCGAUGUGCUUUAGAAGUGUUAGCUGCGUUAUACGGACGUUUAUAAUCUAAUUUGUGCGAAUGUAAAUUUAGCGCGAGACUGUCGAUACGUGCGUGUGUGGAAUUAUGUUGUUUUGACAGAGAAUCUGGUAUGUGUAUUGAAUGAUACUUUGUUAAGGCAUUGAAUCUGGAAUGUGUGUGGAAUUAUACGUUUUUUGACAGAUAAUCUGGUAUGUGUGUGGAAUGAUACGUUGUUUUGACAAAUAAUCUGGUAUGUGUGUGGAAUGAUAGUUACGUUUUGGCAGAGAAUCUGGUACAUGUGUGGAAUGAAACAUUAGUAAAGCAGAAAAUCUGGUUUGGUUGUUUGACUGUGUUGUUUGUUUUCAAUUCAAUUCAUGGGUCUAUGUAUUUGUAGACAACUUUGUCUUUUCCAUUAUCCUUUUGUCGAACUAAGUCAUACACAUUUAUUCAUAAUUGUUAUGUUGUCACAAUGAACAGUCUUACAAUAAUGUGCACCGUGUUUAUUGAAGGAAGCCUUUUUGAACAUAUUUCUAGAGCAUUUGUAGGUUACACAAAAUAUAAUUACCCGGUAUAAACAAGUCAAUGGCCAUAAAACUCAAUGUUUGACGUUUAGUAAAGAUCUAGUCGUUCAGUUACACAAUUGGAAUAAUAAUGAAGCAUACAUAAAACAAAGGUUCUCAAAACAAUGAAAUCGAAUAAUUUUUAUAAUAAACAUGCAUUAAAUAUAUGAAAUUUAGACCCGUUGGUACAUGUAUAUCAAUUAUAUGUAGUGAAACUAUAUUAAGAACACGAGGAUAUUGGGAUCC
This is a long non-coding RNA of Dreissena polymorpha, 1120 nucleotides long. RefSeq lists it as uncharacterized. The record is from RefSeq and is a predicted model, not a curated record. The transcript has 3 exons. NCBI's taxonomy places the organism in Eukaryota, Metazoa, Mollusca, Bivalvia, Myida, Dreissenidae.